GCCCCGCUGGCUCAAUGGUAGAGCAUUAGACUUCUAUAGAUACUGUCGUCUUCCAAAGAUGAAGUAUAGGAAUCUAAAGGUUGCGGGUUCGACCCCCGCGUGGGGUU
Non-coding RNA from Neopestalotiopsis sp. 37M, 107 nucleotides. NCBI's taxonomy places the organism in Eukaryota, Fungi, Ascomycota, Sordariomycetes, Amphisphaeriales, Sporocadaceae. The record is from the annotation of a GenBank genome assembly.